RNAcentral lists this long non-coding RNA (1071 nucleotides) under Mustela putorius furo (domestic ferret). RNAcentral's name for it is "lncRNA (ENSMPUG00000030451.1)". Lineage: Eukaryota; Metazoa; Chordata; Mammalia; Carnivora; Mustelidae. The record is from RNAcentral.
AAUAAAUGAACAGAAGCAUGUCUUAAAAAUUAAUUAAAAAAUAGUUAACAUACUCUUAUUAUUUUUUUUUUGCAAGUUUUUCUUUUAAUUCCAGUUAGUCAAUAUCCAGUGUGAUUGUAUUUGUUGCAGGGGUACGAGAUAGUGAUUCAACACUUAACAUCCAUCACCUAGGUUGAUAGGGAGACCCUAUCAACCUACACCCAGAAACUUCUUCUCUUUUCCCCCUGGAAGGAACUACAAACUUCAUUGAGGCACAAUUGACAUCCAGUCCAUCCACUGCAUUUCGAUGACGUAUAUACCCAUGUAAUCCACAUUCCCGGCGAGAUAACACUCCCUCUGGCUCCUUCCCAGGCAACCGCAGAUCUGCUUUGUCUCACUGUAGAUUAGCUCUGCCUGUUCUAGAACUUCCUAGACAUGGCCCACUUCUACCGUGCUUGCUCUGGUGUCUGACUUCCUUCACUCGGCUGAAUGUUUCGGAGUUUCACCCGUGUUGUUGCCUACGUGGGCAUCUCCUGGACGGCCCGAGCUGGCAGUGGCCAGGCCAUCUGACACCAUCAUCAGAGUGACUUGAAACCUUUGACUAGGGCACCUAGAAACAGGCUUGAUCCUUUUCCAGACCUCUCAACACCGGCCACCCAGGGACUCAGAGGAGGCGGGAGACACAGCUCUGGCCACCCAAGGGCUUCUGUCUUGUGGGAGAGGCUCGGCAACAGUGGUAUGUUCAGACAGCACGUCUGGUGUCCCCCUUCCCUGCCCCUUCCUGUCGUGGAGCCACAGCCACAUUCAACCUUUCCUGUGGGCUUUCCCCGGGCAGAGUUUCGAGGCCACUCCCAGCGUGUGGCAAGGCUGUUCCCAACGUGUGGCAGGGACCAUCCAAGCUGGGGGGUCCGGACGAUGUCUUCCGCCCCUGACUGUGCCGUGUGCCCUUAGACAGGUCCCCUCCCCAACCCCGCAUCCUUGCCCCGCAUGCCUGUGUCCUUGGCCACUGGAUGGGGUUGACCUCCUUUCUGGAGUAGCGUCCCUCCAGACAGCACGGGAUACACUAGAAAACUGAGAGGAGAGGCUGUUCCC